ACUGGAUGCACAGGAAAAAGCCAAAGGACAGUUAUUUGUUGAUGAUGGACAUUCUUUUGAUUAUCAAAGCGGAAAAUUUUUAUUGAGAGAUUUUAACUUCAAUGGCAAUGUAUAAGUAGCAAAGCUGGUAAUGGUAGCGGUCAGCUUGUUACAAAGGCGUGGGUGGAGCGCCUAGUCAUCAUUGGCUACGGGAAGAAACCUAAAGUCUAUUCACUUUCACCU
Amphimedon queenslandica is the source of this 222-nucleotide long non-coding RNA. RefSeq lists it as uncharacterized. The transcript is spliced from 3 exons. The record is from RefSeq and is a predicted model, not a curated record. NCBI's taxonomy places the organism in Eukaryota, Metazoa, Porifera, Demospongiae, Haplosclerida, Niphatidae.